GAUGAACGCUGGCGGCGUGCCUAAUACAUGCUAGUCGAGCGAACAGACGAGGAGCUUGCUCCUCUGACGUUAGCGGCGGACGGGUGAGUAACACGUGGAUAACCUACCUAUAAGACUGGGAUAACUUCGGGAAACCGGAGCUAAUACCGGAUAAUAUAUUGAACCGCAUGGUUCAAUAGUGAAAGACGGUUUUGCUGUCACUUAUAGAUGGAUCCGCGCCGCAUUAGCUAGUUGGUAAGGUAACGGCUUACCAAGGCGACGAUGCGUAGCCGACCUGAGAGGGUGAUCGGCCACACUGGAACUGAGACACGGUCCAGACUCCUACGGGAGGCAGCAGUAGGGAAUCUUCCGCAAUGGGCGAAAGCCUGACGGAGCAACGCCGCGUGAGUGAUGAAGGUCUUCGGAUCGUAAAACUCUGUUAUUAGGGAAGAACAAAUGUGUAAGUAACUAUGCACGUCUUGACGGUACCUAAUCAGAAAGCCACGGCUAACUACGUG
This 497-nucleotide ribosomal RNA is filed under the name uncultured bacterium. Its description in RNAcentral is "partial 16S ribosomal RNA". It matches the Rfam family "Bacterial small subunit ribosomal RNA", at positions 28 to 507 of the family's 1533-position model. The record is from RNAcentral.